Molecule: transfer RNA, 74 nt
Filed under: Mizuhopecten yessoensis (Yesso scallop)
Lineage: Eukaryota; Metazoa; Mollusca; Bivalvia; Pectinida; Pectinidae
Also listed under: 1 other name
Description: tRNA-Asn
Rfam family: tRNA
About the family: Transfer RNA (tRNA) molecules are approximately 80 nucleotides in length. Their secondary structure includes four short double-helical elements and three loops (D, anti-codon, and T loops).
Source: Rfam by way of RNAcentral
GUCUCCGUGGCGCAAUUGGUUAGCGCGUUCGGCUGUUAACCGAAAGGUUGUUGGUUCAAGCCCACCCGGGGACG